This 365-nucleotide ribosomal RNA is filed under the name uncultured Anoxybacillus sp. Its description in RNAcentral is "bacterial SSU rRNA". It matches the Rfam family "Bacterial small subunit ribosomal RNA", at positions 1021 to 1382 of the family's 1533-position model. The record is from RNAcentral. Lineage: Bacteria; Bacillati; Bacillota; Bacilli; Caryophanales; Anoxybacillaceae.
GGGGGACAGGGUGACAGGUGGUGCAUGGUUGUCGUCAGCUCGUGUCGUGAGAUUGUUGGGUUAAGUCCCGCAACGAGCCGCAACCCUCGACCUUAGUUGCCAGCAUUCAGUUGGGCACUCUAAGGUGACUGCCGGCUAAAAGUCGGAGGAAGGUGGGGAUGACGUCAAAUCAUCAUGCCCCUUAUGACCUGGGCUACACACGUGCUACAAUGGGCGGUACAAAGGGUCGCGAACCCGCGAGGGGGAGGCCAAUCCCAAAAAGACCGCUCUCAGUUCGGAUUGCAGGCUGCAACUCGCCUGCAUGAAGCCGGAAUCGCUAGUAAUCGCGGAUCAGCAUGCCGCGGUGAAUACGUUCCCGGGCCGUU